AGGGGACAGCACGGAGGAGCGGGAGGAGCGGAAACAGCAUUCCUGGAAGCUGGAAGGAAACCCUGCCCAACAGAAGAGCGGACACUGGAAUAAAGAUCCUCAGGAUGGCCCCAAAGAGGAACGGGCUGUCUGUGACGAGGAAGCCUGCUCGGCCCGUGGAAGUCAGCCAGCUACACAGGGGGUGCCCCGGGCGCUGAGUGCAUAUCUGUGGAACGUCACAUUCAUCCCGGUGAGU
Long non-coding RNA from Fukomys damarensis (Damara mole-rat), 235 nucleotides. RefSeq lists it as uncharacterized. The record is from RefSeq and is a predicted model, not a curated record. The transcript has 4 exons. Lineage: Eukaryota; Metazoa; Chordata; Mammalia; Rodentia; Bathyergidae.